This 433-nucleotide ribosomal RNA is filed under the name uncultured bacterium. RNAcentral's name for it is "partial 16S ribosomal RNA". It matches the Rfam family "Bacterial small subunit ribosomal RNA", at positions 29 to 507 of the family's 1533-position model. The record is from RNAcentral.
AACGAACGCUGGCGGCAUGCCUAACACAUGCAAGUCGAACGAGACCUUCGGGUCUAGUGGCGCACGGGUGCGUAACGCGUGGGAACCUGCCCUUAGGUUCGGAAUAACUCCCCGAAAGGGGUGCUAAUACCGGAUAAUGUCUUCGGACCAAAGAUUUAUCGCCUUUGGUUGGGCCCGCGUUGGAUUAGCUAGUUGGUAGGGUAAAAGCCUACAAAGGCGCCGAUCCAUAGCUGGUCUGAGAGGAUGAUCAGCACCACUGGGACUGAGACACGGCCCAGACUCCUACGGGAGGCAGCAGUGGGGAAUAUUGGACAAUGGGCGAAAGCCUGAUCCAGCAAGGCCGCGUGAGUUAUGAAGGCCUUAGGGUUGUAAAGCUCUUUUACCCGUGAUGAUAAUGACAGUACCGGGAGAAUAAGCUCCGGCUAACUCCGUG